GGGGACGACAGGUAUCGAUGGGAACAGCUCUUUGACAACCGCAAGCCGAGUUUGAACUAAACUCGUAAAAAAGGGUUCAAAAAACAAUUGUCACUGAAAAAGCAGACAGACUCCUAGGUACCUAUUUCGGUGCCGAGGAUGCUAACGCAGAUUACGCUUUCGCGUACGCUGCCUAAGCCGUUUUCGGAUUAAAAUGUUCGAGGUUUAACCGAAGGCGAGUACAAACUCGAAAUACGCUAUUCAAGGAGAAGCUAAGCCUUGGCUAGUUAGAUUAAGUUAGCAGCUCUAGAUGAAUUUUGUUUGUGAAUAAAUCUAGAGAAUAAAUUCACAAACUAAGCUUGUAGCGGUUAUCUGAAGAAUGUUUCCAGACGUGGGUCCAAUUCCCACCGUCUCCACAC
RNAcentral lists this transfer-messenger RNA (398 nucleotides) under Candidatus Collierbacteria bacterium. It matches the Rfam family "transfer-messenger RNA". From Rfam's summary of the family: Bacterial tmRNA, also known as 10Sa RNA or SsrA, is named for its dual tRNA and mRNA-like properties. Its role is to liberate the mRNA from a stalled ribosome. To accomplish this part of the tmRNA is used as a reading frame that ends in a translation stop signal. The record is from RNAcentral. Lineage: Bacteria; Candidatus Collieribacteriota.